Molecule: long non-coding RNA, 1013 nt
Filed under: Homo sapiens (human)
Lineage: Eukaryota; Metazoa; Chordata; Mammalia; Primates; Hominidae
Description: long intergenic non-protein coding RNA 710
Source: RNAcentral
GGGUAGCCACCGAACAUGAUGCUCGGGCAGUGGGUGCCACCUGGACUCCACUCUCCCCUCUCUCUGGGAUCAUAGAGUCCAAGGUGUUCUGUGGCCUCUCGGCCAAUCCCAGCAGCUCAGCGUGCAGAAGACCGAGGAGCCAUUGGAAAAGAAAAAGAGAACAUAUAUCCCCCUACCUUUUGAUUUCCAACAGUCUACUGAGAGGCCAAGAUUAUUUGCAGGGAAAGAAAAGGGGAAUGCCAUCCCCACCCUCUCGCAGCUACGUGCCAGUUCCAGAGCACCUGUUCCCCUCUACUUUGAAAAGGUCAAAAUGUUUUGCCAGUAACUCCCAAAUCAUCUACAGCCAAGGAGAAAAGUGUUUCAAGACAGAGGUGCUCAAUGGUAUCAAAUACUGCCAACAGACCAAGUAAUACAUGCAUUGAAGUGUCUACUGGAUCUAGCUAUAUCACCAGAACAAGGUUAUGGUGGAAAACGCUAGAAAUGAAGAUUUUGUCCCCAGGGAUGGGGGAUACAAGUUACCAAAGUAGUGGCGAGAAAAGGAAUUUUUAAUUUAGGACACUUAGGCCAUACUGAAGCAAGGUGACAAAAUGAAUAGCUACAAUGUCUCGUGAAUCUUGGGUUUCCAUUCACCCUGGUAUUCAAGAGAAAUUCUUGCAUCAUGGAAGUUGCAGUUGGAUAGGACUUUCUCAGCUGAACACUGUCAUCUGCCAGAGCUUCAGGCAAGAACCCAGAACAGAUGAAACCCCAGACAUGACAAAAUAAGCCAAAGAAUACCAGGCCAAGGUGUGAAAGGCCAGAUGAGAACAAGCAGCGUACACGAUUCUGUUGCCAACAGAUCUCCCCUAACAGUGUCGUGCACCAAAUUUCCACAGUGAAUGUCAGGAAAAAAUGGCAAUUGAGGUGGGUGGUCAAAAGAGAAGCACAGUCUAUGAUGAAGUCACCCCAGAGAAGUCCUUUUUCCGUUUUCUCCUGAGAAAUUACCAGAAGAAAUUAAAAUCCUUUUGAGUAUUGCA